AUACGGAGGGGGCUAGCGUUGUUCGGAAUUACUGGGCGUAAAGCGCGCGUAGGCGGCCGGCACAGUCAGGCGUGAAAGCCCCGGGCUCAACCUGGGAACUGCAUUCAAUACUGCCAGGCUCGAGUACGAGAGAGGGGGGUAGAAUUCCACGUGUAGCGGUGAAAUGCGUAGAUAUGUGGAGGAAUACCGGUGGCGAAGGCGGCCCCCUGGCUCGAUACUGACGCUGAGGUGCGAAAGCGUGGGGAGCAAACAGGAUUAGAAACCCGGGUAGUCC
Molecule: ribosomal RNA, 274 nt
Filed under: uncultured bacterium
Lineage: Bacteria
Description: partial 16S ribosomal RNA
Rfam family: Bacterial small subunit ribosomal RNA
Source: RNAcentral